Molecule: ribosomal RNA, 254 nt
Filed under: uncultured bacterium
Lineage: Bacteria
Description: partial 16S ribosomal RNA
Rfam family: Bacterial small subunit ribosomal RNA
Source: RNAcentral
UACGUAGGGUCCGAGCGUUGUCCGGAGUUACUGGGCGUAAAGCGCGCGCAGGCGGCGGUGCUGGCCCGGCGUGAAAGCCCCCCGGCUCAACCGGGGAGGGUCGUCGGGGACCGCACCGCUUGAGGGCGGUAGGGGCUGGUGGAAUGCCUGGUGUAGUGGUGAAAUGCGUAGAGAUCAGGCGGAACACCCGUGGCGAAGGCGGCCAGCUGGGCCGUCCCUGACGCUGAGAAGCGAAAGCAUGGGGAGCGAACAGG